Molecule: ribosomal RNA, 538 nt
Filed under: uncultured bacterium
Lineage: Bacteria
Description: bacterial SSU rRNA
Rfam family: Bacterial small subunit ribosomal RNA
Source: RNAcentral
AGUGGCGCACGGGUGCGUAACACGUAUGUAACCUACCUUUAUCAGGGGGAUAGCCUCUCGAAAGAGAGAUUAAGCCCGCAUAACAUUAUGAUAUGGCACCAUAUUAUAAUCAAAUAUUUAUAGGAUAAAGAUGGGCAUGCGGAACAUUAGCUAGUUGGUAAGGUAACGGCUUACCAAGGCUACGAUGUUUAGGGGAUCUGAGAGGAUGACCCCCCACACUGGUACUGAGACACGGACCAGACUCCUACGGGAGGCAGCAGUAAGGAAUAUUGGUCAAUGGGCGGAAGCCUGAACCAGCCAUGCCGCGUGCAGGAAGACGGCCCUACGGGUUGUAAACUGCUUUUAUACGGGAAUAAACCUCACUACGUGUAGUGAGCUGAAUGUACUGUAAGAAUAAGGAUCGGCUAACUCCGUGCCAGCAGCCGCGGUAAUACGGAGGAUCCGAGCGUUAUCCGGAUUUAUUGGGUUUAAAGGGUGCGUAGGCGGCCUAUUAAGUCAGGGGUGAAAGACGGUAGCUUAACUAUCGCAGUGCCUUUGA